Molecule: ribosomal RNA, 335 nt
Filed under: uncultured Acholeplasma sp.
Lineage: Bacteria; Bacillati; Mycoplasmatota; Mollicutes; Acholeplasmatales; Acholeplasmataceae
Description: bacterial SSU rRNA
Rfam family: Bacterial small subunit ribosomal RNA
Source: RNAcentral
GCGUUGUCGUCAGCUCGUGUCGUGAGAUGUUGGGUUAAGUCCCGCAACGAGCGCAACCCCUAUUGCUAGUUACCAUCAUUAAGUUGGGGACUCUAGCGAGACUGCCAGUGAUAAACUGGAGGAAGGUGGGGAUGACGUCAAAUCAUCAUGCCCCUUAUGACCUGGGCUACAAACGUGAUACAAUGGCUGGAACAAAGGGAUGCGAAGCAGUGAUGUGGAGCGAAACCCAUAAAAACAGUCUCAGUUCGGAUUGAAGUCUGCAACUCGACUUCAUGAAGUCGGAAUCGCUAGUAAUCGCGGAUCAGAACGCCGCGGUGAAUACGUUCUCGGGGUUU